This 336-nucleotide long non-coding RNA is filed under the name Bos indicus x Bos taurus (hybrid cattle). RNAcentral's name for it is "lncRNA (ENSBIXG00005017027.1)". The record is from RNAcentral. Lineage: Eukaryota; Metazoa; Chordata; Mammalia; Artiodactyla; Bovidae.
UUUAUUUUUAAACUGACAGGGAAGGAUCCAAGACUGCCAGAACUAUUGCAGGAAGUCAGAACAGAAAGACAGAGACGAAAUGGGUCCACGUGAUAUUGUUUGAGUUGCUGGAUCAAUCUUCACCUCAGACUAGAGAGGAGAACUAUCAAAAAACCGAAGAGAAAAGAGAGUUUUGGAAAUUCGGACUGGAGUAACAGACUGGAAUGAGACUUUGGGACUGAGGGUGACCAGAGGCAGGGGUGCUCUGCAUACCAGGAAAGGAUAUGAGAUCCCUUGCAACCUCCUUUCAUGGUCCCCUGAAGCUACAGGAUAUAGUCUCCUCGAAGAAAAAUGGGG